RNAcentral lists this ribosomal RNA (313 nucleotides) under uncultured delta proteobacterium. Its description in RNAcentral is "bacterial SSU rRNA". It matches the Rfam family "Bacterial small subunit ribosomal RNA", at positions 536 to 847 of the family's 1533-position model. Lineage: Bacteria; Deltaproteobacteria. The record is from RNAcentral.
AAGCGUUGUUCGGAAUUAUUGGGCGUAAAGCGCGUGUAGGCGGUUUUUUAAGUCUGAUGUGAAAGCCCCGGGCUCAACCUGGGAAGUGCAUUGGAAACUGGGAGACUUGAAUACGGGAGAGGGCAGUGGAAUUCCUGGUGUAGGAGUGAAAUCCGUAGAUAUCAGGAGGAACACCGGUGGCGAAGGCGGCUGCCUGGACCGAUAUUGACGCUGAGACGCGAAAGCGUGGGUAGCAAACAGGAUUAGAUACCCUGGUAGUCCACGCCGUAAACGAUGAGAACUAGGUGUUGCGGGUAUUGACCCCUGCAGUGCC